GGAUGUUAGCGGCGGACGGGUGAGUAACACGUGGGUAACCUGCCUGUAAGACUGGGAUAACUCCGGGAAACCGGAGCUAAUACCGGAUAGUUCCUUGAACCGCAUGGUUCAAGGAUGAAAGACGGUUUCGGCUGUCACUUACAGAUGGACCCGCGGCGCAUUAGCUAGUUGGUGAGGUAACGGCUCACCAAGGCGACGAUGCGUAGCCGACCUGAGAGGGUGAUCGGCCACACUGGGACUGAGACACGGCCCAGACUCCUACGGGAGGCAGCAGUAGGGAAUCUUCCGCAAUGGACGAAAGUCUGACGGAGCAACGCCGCGUGAGUGAUGAAGGUUUUCGGAUCGUAAAGCUCUGUUGUUAGGGAAGAACAAGUGCAAGAGUAACUGCUUGCACCUUGACGGUACCUAACCAGAAAGCCACGGCUAACUACGUGCCAGCAGCCGCGGUAAUACGUAGGUGGCAAGCGUUGUCCGGAAUUAUUGGGGCGUAAAGGGCUCGCAGGCGGUUUCUUAAGUCUGAUGUGAAAGCCCCCGGCUCAACCGGGGAGGGUCAUUGGAAACUGGGAAACUUGAGUGCAGAA
This 581-nucleotide ribosomal RNA is filed under the name Bacillus pumilus. RNAcentral's name for it is "bacterial SSU rRNA". It matches the Rfam family "Bacterial small subunit ribosomal RNA", at positions 87 to 653 of the family's 1533-position model. The record is from RNAcentral. Lineage: Bacteria; Bacillati; Bacillota; Bacilli; Caryophanales; Bacillaceae.